UACAGGGGGGGCAAGCGUUGUUCGGAAUUAUUGGGCGUAAAGAGCGUGUAGGCGGUCAGGUAGGUCCGUUGUGAAAACUCGAGGCUCAACCUCGAGACGCCGAUGGAAACCAUCUGACUAGAGUCCGGAAGAGGAGAGUGGAAUUCCUGGUGUAGCGGUGAAAUGCGCAGAUAUCAGGAAGAACACCCGUGGCUAAGGCGGCUCUCUAGUACGGUACUGACGCUGAGACGCGAAAGCGUGGGGAGCGAACAGG
RNAcentral lists this ribosomal RNA (253 nucleotides) under uncultured bacterium. Its description in RNAcentral is "partial 16S ribosomal RNA". It matches the Rfam family "Bacterial small subunit ribosomal RNA", at positions 524 to 776 of the family's 1533-position model. The record is from RNAcentral.